Molecule: ribosomal RNA, 723 nt
Filed under: Triticum aestivum (bread wheat)
Lineage: Eukaryota; Viridiplantae; Streptophyta; Magnoliopsida; Poales; Poaceae
Description: partial small subunit ribosomal RNA
Source: RNAcentral
UGGGACGCACUCGAGGCCAACUUUGGGGUCUCGGAUGCCGGCACUGAGCUGUACAUCACGGAGCAAUUCUAUGAUUACAGGAUGACUGAAGAGCGCUCCGUGGUUGAGCAGGCUCACGAGAUACAGUCAUUUGCUAGAGAACUUGAGCACUUCAACUGCAUGCUACCGGACAAGUUUGUUGCCGGGGGUAUCAUCACUAAGCUUCCUCCUUCAUGGAGGAACUUUGCUACCUUACUGAAACAUAAUAGACAAGAGUUUUCCGUUCCGGAUCUCAUUGGUACUCUUGAUGUGGAAGAAAAGGCGAGAGCAAAGGACACACGUGCUCGAGGUAUUGAGGGAGGAUCUAGUGCCAAUCUGGUACAGAAGAAAAACUUCCAGUCCCACAAGUUCAAGAACAAGGGCAAGUUUGAUGGUAAAGGAAAGUUUGAUGGGAAGAACAAGGCUGUGCAGCACACGAACUUCAAGAAGAAGAAUGACAAGAAGAAAGGUGCUUGUCACGUGUGUGGAGAUCCUGAUCAUUGGGCUCCUAGUUGCCCCAAUCGCUAUGACAAGCGUCAUCCUGGGAAAGGCGGCAAGACCGCUAAUGUUGUCAUCGGGGACACUGACAUGAAGGAUGCUGGGUAUGGUAUAUUUCCCACUAUUCUUUCAGUAUAUCAUUCUCCUGAUUGGUUGAUUGACACGGGUGCUAAUGUGCAUGUAUGCGGUGAUAUUUCCAUGUUUUCG